This 465-nucleotide ribosomal RNA is filed under the name uncultured bacterium. Its description in RNAcentral is "partial 16S ribosomal RNA". It matches the Rfam family "Bacterial small subunit ribosomal RNA", at positions 28 to 507 of the family's 1533-position model. The record is from RNAcentral.
GACGAACGCUGGCGGCGUGCUUAACACAUGCAAGUCGAACGGAAAGGCCCCUUUGGGGGUACUCGAGUGGCGAACGGGUGAGUAACACGUGAGUAACCUGCCCUUGUCUUCGGGAUAACUUCAGGAAACUGGGGCUAAUACCGGAUAGGAAUCCUUGCUGCAUGGUGGGGGUUGGAAAGCUUCGGCGGUUUUGGAUGGACUCGCGGCUUAUCAGCUUGUUGGUGGGGUAGUGGCUUACCAAGGCUUUGACGGGUAGCCGGCCUGAGAGGGCGACCGGCCACAUUGGGACUGAGAUACGGCCCAGACUCCUACGGGAGGCAGCAGUGGGGAAUAUUGCACAAUGGGCGGAAGCCUGAUGCAGCAACGCCGCGUGCGGGAUGACGGCCUUCGGGUUGUAAACCGCUUUCAGCAGGGGCGAAGCUUGUGGUGACGGUACCUGCAGAAGAAGCACCGGCUAACUACGUG